This 74-nucleotide transfer RNA is filed under the name Candidatus Undinarchaeales archaeon. Its description in RNAcentral is "tRNA-Phe". It matches the Rfam family "tRNA". From Rfam's summary of the family: Transfer RNA (tRNA) molecules are approximately 80 nucleotides in length. Their secondary structure includes four short double-helical elements and three loops (D, anti-codon, and T loops). The record is from RNAcentral. Lineage: Archaea; Nanobdellati; Candidatus Undinarchaeota; Candidatus Undinarchaeia; Candidatus Undinarchaeales.
GGGGCCAUAGCUCAGUCUGGGAGAGCGCCGGACUGAAGAUCCGGGUGUCCCGGGUUCGAACCCCGGUGGCCCCA